GCGGGCGUGGUGGAAUGGUAGACACGCUGGUCUUAGAAGCCAGUGCCAAAAGCGUGAAGGUUCAAGUCCUUUCGCCCGCACCA
This 83-nucleotide transfer RNA is filed under the name Alphaproteobacteria bacterium. RNAcentral's name for it is "tRNA-Leu". It matches the Rfam family "tRNA". From Rfam's summary of the family: Transfer RNA (tRNA) molecules are approximately 80 nucleotides in length. Their secondary structure includes four short double-helical elements and three loops (D, anti-codon, and T loops). Further hydrogen bonds mediate the characteristic L-shaped molecular structure. tRNAs have two regions of fundamental functional importance: the anti-codon, which is responsible for specific mRNA codon recognition, and the 3' end, to which the tRNAs corresponding amino acid is attached (by aminoacyl-tRNA synthetases). tRNAs cope with the degeneracy of the genetic code in two manners: having more than one tRNA (with a specific anti-codon) for a particular amino acid; and 'wobble' base-pairing, i.e. permitting non-standard base-pairing at the 3rd anti-codon position. Lineage: Bacteria; Pseudomonadati; Pseudomonadota; Alphaproteobacteria. The record is from RNAcentral.